Triticum urartu is the source of this 125-nucleotide non-coding RNA. The record is from Rfam. NCBI's taxonomy places the organism in Eukaryota, Viridiplantae, Streptophyta, Magnoliopsida, Poales, Poaceae.
AUUGUACUCCCUCCGUCCAGAAAUACUUGUCAGAGAAAUGGAUGUAUCUAAAUGUAUUUUAGUUUUAGAUACAUCCAUUUUUAUCCAUUUUUCCGACAAGUAUUUCGGGACGGAGGGAGUAUAUG